GUGCUCACUUGAGCAGUAUGUAUACUAAAUUUGGAACAACACAGAGAAGAUUAGCAUGACCCCUGUGCAACACUGACACACAAAUUUGUGACAGGUUCCAUAUUUUU
Nannospalax galili (Upper Galilee mountains blind mole rat) is the source of this 107-nucleotide small nuclear RNA. The record is from Ensembl. Lineage: Eukaryota; Metazoa; Chordata; Mammalia; Rodentia; Spalacidae.